CCCUUCCGCACUCUAGCCUUGCAGUAUCAGCUGCUGUUCUUCCGUUAAGCAGAAGGCUUUCACAACUGACUUACAAGGCCGCCUACGUGCUCUUUACGCUCAAUAAUUCCGAACAACGCUUGCCGCCUCUGUAUUACCGCGGUUGCUGGCACAGAGUUAGCCGUGGCUUCCUCCGGAGCCUUAGUCAAGUAAGGAUACUAUUAACACCCUUA
RNAcentral lists this ribosomal RNA (212 nucleotides) under uncultured anaerobic ammonium-oxidizing bacterium. RNAcentral's name for it is "partial 16S ribosomal RNA". The record is from RNAcentral.